This 77-nucleotide transfer RNA is filed under the name Diaphorina lycii. RNAcentral's name for it is "tRNA-Gly". Lineage: Eukaryota; Metazoa; Arthropoda; Insecta; Hemiptera; Psyllidae. The record is from RNAcentral.
ACCCUAAUUCAAUUUAAUCUUAUUAGUAUAAAACAAUUAUAAUUAGCUUCCAACUAAUAGAUCAUUUUGAUAAGAUA